GUGGGGAAUAUUGGACAAUGGGGGAACCCUGAUCCAGCCAUGCCGCGCGUGUGAAGAAGGCCUUUUGGUUGUAAAGCACUUUAAGUGGGGAGGAGGCUUACCUGGUUAAUACCUGGGCUAAGUGGACGUUACCCACAGAAUAAGCACCGGCUAACUCUGUGCCAGCAGCCGCGGUAAUACAGAGGGUGCGAGCGUUAAUCGGAUUUACUGGGCGUAAAUAGCGCGUAGGUGGUCAAUUAAGUCAAAUGUGAAAUCCCCGAGCUUAACUUGGGAAUUGCAUUCGAUACUGGUUAGCUAGAGUAUGGGAGAGGAUGGUAGAAUUCCAGGUGUAGCGGUGAAAUGCGUAGUGAUCUGGAGGAAUACCGAUGGCGAAGGCAGCCAUCUGGCCUAAUACUGACACUGAGGUGCGAAAGCAUGGGGAGCAAACAGGAUUAGAAACCCGGGUAGUCC
Molecule: ribosomal RNA, 450 nt
Filed under: uncultured bacterium
Lineage: Bacteria
Description: partial 16S ribosomal RNA
Rfam family: Bacterial small subunit ribosomal RNA
Source: RNAcentral